RNAcentral lists this ribosomal RNA (439 nucleotides) under uncultured bacterium. RNAcentral's name for it is "partial 16S ribosomal RNA". It matches the Rfam family "Bacterial small subunit ribosomal RNA", at positions 339 to 795 of the family's 1533-position model. The record is from RNAcentral.
CUACGGGUCGCACCAGUGAGGAAUAUUGCACAGUGGGGGGAACCCUGAUGCAGCAACGCCGCGUGGAGGAUGACGCAUUUCGGUGUGUAAACUCCUUUUAUAUGUCAAGAAAAUGACGGUAGCAUAUGAAUAAGCACCGGCUAACUCCGUGCCAGCAGCCGCGGUAAUACGGAGGGUGCAAGCGUUACUCGGAAUCACUGGGCGUAAAGGACGCGUAGGCGGGUUGGAAAGUCAGGUGUGAAAUCCUACAGCUUAACUGUAGAACUGCACUUGAAACUUCUAAUCUAGAGUAUGGGAGGGGGAGAUGGAAUUAGUGGUGUAGGGGUAAAAUCCGUAGAUAUCACUAGGAAUACCUAAAGCGAAGGCGAUCUCCUGGAACAUUACUGACGCUAAGGCGUGAAAGCGUGGGGAGCAGACAGGAUUAGAUACCCUCGUAGUC